RNAcentral lists this ribosomal RNA (250 nucleotides) under uncultured bacterium. Its description in RNAcentral is "partial 16S ribosomal RNA". It matches the Rfam family "Bacterial small subunit ribosomal RNA", at positions 524 to 773 of the family's 1533-position model. The record is from RNAcentral.
UACGUAGGGUGCUAGCGUUGUUCGGAAUCAUUGGGCGUAAAGCGCGUGCAGGCUGUUAAAUAAGUCGGAUGUGAAAUCCCUGGGCUCAACCGAGGAAGUGCAUUCGAAACUAUUUAGCUAGAAGAUGGUAGAGGAAGGUGGAAUUCCAAGUGUAGAGGUGAAAUUCGUAGAUAUUUGGAGGAAUACCGGUGGCGAAGGCGGCCUUCUGGGCCAUUCUUGACGCUGAGACGCGAAAGCGUGGGUAGCAAAC